Molecule: long non-coding RNA, 1609 nt
Filed under: Monodelphis domestica (gray short-tailed opossum)
Lineage: Eukaryota; Metazoa; Chordata; Mammalia; Didelphimorphia; Didelphidae
Description: lncRNA (ENSMODG00000036314.2)
Source: RNAcentral
GACAUUUCUACCGCGAACAUUUUUCCCCUUGGAAACAGGCAAACGCUACAAAUCAAGGCUUGCUUUUGUUGUUGUUGAUGAUGUCUAGACUCAAGAACUGGGGUGCAGAAAAUGUCAAUAAUGCGGAUGAAUUUCAGAGUGGGUAUGAACACCCAUUUCAUGCAUUGAGUGGAGGUCUGUGACCACCUGUGAAAGAAUGUGUAGCCCUGGAGAGGAGCAUCUGCUGUGAUUGGUAGACAUGAAAUUUAGAGGAGGUGACACAAGAGAAAAAGAUCUUUAAAGAACCACAGAGGCCAGAUAGAUGGAAGAACUCUGAUGUGGAGUUGGCCUGGAGGAUCAGUUUCUUGAGCUUAGGAGAGACUGGAAUACAGACACUCCGACUUAGCUGUGGAACUUGACCCUGGAGGAGUUCGUGCAGGAGACCUCAGACUGCUAUCUUUUUAGGCCGUCACUGUGAAUCAGGGAUCUCAAGAAAGAAGGGGCCAAAGGCAUCAUCUAAUUCAAUACCCUCAUUUUACGUACACUAUGAAGAAUCUGAGACGGGAAAAACUGAAGUGAUUUUCUCCACGUUGUGCAGGGAGCAAGUGGCAGAGGUCAGAUUCAAUCUCUAGUCCCUUCAUUUCAAAUCCAAUGCCUUUUCCAUGAAAAGUCUUUGCUUAAGGAUAUGCCAAAGGAAACUCUAUUGCUAGCCCAAUGUAUUCUUUAAAAAACGAACCAACAAUCCAAUCCUUAUUUUCUGUCUUAAUAACAACUUUAAUAAGACAGAUAGAUGAGAACUAGGCAAAUGGCAUUAAGUGGCUUCCCCAGGGAUAAGCUAGGAAGUAUCUGAGUCUACUUUUGAACCCAGAUCCUCUUGAUUCCUGGUCUGGAGUUUUAUCCACUGUGCAACCUCACUGCCCCCAGCCCAAUAAUUCCUUUUUUUUUUUUAACCUGUAAAUGCAUCUUACAAUCAAUAUUAAGUAUUGGCUCCAAAGCAGAAGAGUGGCAAGGACUAGGCAUUGAGGGUUAAGUGACUCAUCCAGGAUUACACUGUUAAGAAGUAUCUGGGGCUAGAUUUGAACCCAGAACUUUCUGUGUGUAGCCUUGGCCAUCAAGCCACUGAGCCACCUAGCUGUCCCCCAAUAUAUUUGUAAGACGAAGAGUCUGAAAACUUGAAUGCCUAUCAAAUGGAAAAAUGGAAUUAAGGAGAUGAAAGUUCAUUAAGUUCAAUCCCCUCAUUUUAGAGGAGAUGUUAAGCAACUUAAAGACAUGCAGAUAGUAAGUAGCAGACCAACUCAGAUCCUCUGGCUUCAAAUCCAUCUCUUAUUAUAGUGUACUGAACUGAAUCGUUUGAAAUGAUUUGUGAAGUUGCAGAAGAAUUACUAUUAACGCCCUCUUUGCUUGUCAGCAGCUUCUGAUGGUAUUUUCCCCUUCUUUUAUUAAGUGCUAGGGCUCCUUUUAAGCAAUUUCCUGUGGUGUGGUUAUAUGAGGUAGCUGAGAGAUCCCUGGAAGGGAAACCAGAAUAUCUGCCUUCUGGGAGCAGCCAUGCUCUUAUCCAUAUUCGAAGUAAAUACAGAGUAAUCUUUUUUUGGGGGGUGAGGGUGGGGAGGGGGGGGGAAAGAGACACUAU